AUGUGGGGGGCUUACCAACAUAGUCCAGAGUCUUUAGAAAAGUUUUCCCACUAUUUCUCUACAGCUGGCACUGAGUGUAACCCCCAUGGUGGCAAGCUCCCCUGCUCCUUUCAGGUGUUUUGCUGGUGGGAUCAUCCAUGUUGCAGGAGACUCUCUGAGCCCCAGCAAGUAAAUAGAACAAACAGAACCCGUGUUACAGGCAUGGUCAACUGCACUGGUGAGGUUUCAGAGAGAUUACGGGCAAGUACAUUCCCCAGCUUUAUCCGACUGCUCAUUGAGACUGGGGCAUCUUCCGGGUCUUCUGUCUCAUCUGGUUUCUCAGCUAGGAAAAAAGCUGAGGAUUUCUGGGAACUGUUUCUCCUGUCAUUGAUGUUUCCACCACUUUUUCUGAUCUAUUUUAUUACAAUCAUAGCGUAUUUGAGAUUAUGUAUGUUACAGUCAGUAAUCUGUACGUCUGCACAAUUACAAAUCAGUAUUGCAUUAGUACCUUAAUUUAGCUACAUCUAUUUCCAUAAUUCCAACAUACACGGGCAUAGGCUAGAACAUGAUGAAGUUCCUGGAAAUGGUUUGUAUUUUACACUGACCAGUUUAAUUUAGUCUCAAGCUUGACACGAUAUGCACAGGCCCCAUGAGGAAGUGCUAAGAAAAAUGUUGAAAGCACAAGUAAACCCUGGUUGUUGGUGGAGUUAUUCUUACAGCUUUAAAGUAACUUAACUAAAGCUCUGGUUUUGAUGCUAGCAAAACCUAAUCAGGGUGUGCUUACCUGAAAAGAUUCCUUCAAUUGCAAGUGAAACCAGGAGAACACUUAGUGCACGAGAGAGCACAGCAUCAACAUCACUAAAUACAGCAACAAAAAAAUCAAUAAUUAUAAAUAAUGAAAGUAAUAGCCUUUAGUGUCAGCUCCCUGCCCACUUCCAUAAACUUAAGGUUGAUAAUUUUAGCUGCCACUUCCUUCUUUCCCAUCUCCUACACUGUACGCAAAGUUAUAUAUCGUUUUUUAUUAGUGGACCUCAGAAGUCUGCUACUACAAUGACCUAAAUACAGAACGGCAGUUAGAAAAGCUUUCCCUCCCCACUUAAUGAAAGAGUUAUUCUGAGGCUCUGCUAUCUAACCCGGUGAUAUCGAUUUCAGCUUCUUACAUGUAAAGUAGGAAAUUCUCUGUGGAGUUGAUUUGUACCGGCUCUUUGUUGCCUUGAGGUGUCAUAAUAAUUCAGCUAAUAGCUGAAUUUCACCAAGAAGUUGCUUCUUGGGAUUUAUUUAUUUAUUUAUUUAUUAACAGGAAAGGGGUUUUACUGUUUUAGGGUUUCAUCUUUUCAAAAUUUUCACUCUUUUUGUUUUAAUAUUAAUUUCCAUUUGAUUAAGAAUUUCUGUACAGCUCUGGAGAUACAUCAGAGCAUCAUUUGAAAGACUGCUCAGUAGAAAUCUUUUGCCAAUAUUUUUUGUCUAUAUAUACAUAUUUUUUUUCUGUUUCCUAGUAGGCCUUAGCAGAGCA
Molecule: long non-coding RNA, 1492 nt
Filed under: Anas platyrhynchos platyrhynchos (common mallard)
Lineage: Eukaryota; Metazoa; Chordata; Aves; Anseriformes; Anatidae
Description: lncRNA (ENSAPLG00000020720.1)
Source: RNAcentral